AACGAACGCUGGCGGCAUGCCUAACACAUGCAAGUCGAACGAGACCUCCGGGUCUAGUGGCGCACGGGUGCGUAACGCGUGGGAACCUGCCAUUAGGUUCGGAAUAACCCCCCGUCAGGGGUGCUAAUAUCGGAUAAUGUCUUCGGAUCAAAGAUUUAUCGACCUUGGAUGGGCCCGCGUUGGAUUAGCUAGUUGGUAGGGUAAAAGCCUACCAAGGCGACGUUCCAUAGCUGGUCUGAGAGGAUGAUCAGCCACGCUGGGACUGGGACGCAGCCCAGACUCGUACGGGAGGCAGCAGUGGGGAAUAUUGGACAAUGGGCGAGAGCCUGAUGGAGCAAUGCCGGGUGAGAGAUGAUGUCGUUAGGGAAGAAAAGCUCGUUUACCCGGGAUGGUUAUGACGGUACCGGGAGAAUAAGCUCCGGCUAACUCCGUG
Molecule: ribosomal RNA, 433 nt
Filed under: uncultured bacterium
Lineage: Bacteria
Description: partial 16S ribosomal RNA
Rfam family: Bacterial small subunit ribosomal RNA
Source: RNAcentral